CACACACAAACUGGUUUGUCCCAUGUGUUUGUGUCCACAGGAGUCAGGUUGAAUACAGCUGUGAGCGGUGUGGGGGUCAGGUGUCGAGCCUGAGGUGUGGUUUCCAUACGCUGCCUUGGGUUCUCAUUUUACACCUGAAGAGGUUUUGCCCCUUUACCCUCACCAAAAGCAUGGCACCGCUUCAGCUGGAGGCAGAGCUCCAGAUCAAACAAAGCACUGCUCUGUCAGUGCUCCCAGAACUGACCCAAUCCUAGUGUGCGCGUACCAUUGUCUCCCGAGACUGACAGAUGCCAGACAGCCUGACCUGCACCUCCCCAGAAUUGGAACCACGCGGCGACACGGACUGCAACAACUGUGACUGGUCCACCCCCGAUGUGUGUGGGUGUGUUAAUAAACA
This is a long non-coding RNA of Clupea harengus (Atlantic herring), 397 nucleotides long. RefSeq lists it as uncharacterized. NCBI's taxonomy places the organism in Eukaryota, Metazoa, Chordata, Actinopteri, Clupeiformes, Clupeidae. The transcript has 3 exons. The record is from RefSeq and is a predicted model, not a curated record.